Molecule: non-coding RNA, 348 nt
Organism: Euryarchaeota archaeon TMED164
Lineage: Archaea; Methanobacteriati; Methanobacteriota
Source: Rfam
GGGGGCGACCGGUUUCGACAUUUUAGAAAGAAAUUUUAAGUUGCAUGUAGAGCUUAGUAACUCUUAAAACUUCUAAACUGUAUUAAGUGCCGAUUAUGGCCAAAUGGCUGUAGCUUAAUUGCUAUAACCCAUCAUCAGUAGGCGUUUCUCAUCGCUGUCUGAAUGAUGUCAUAAAAAUGAGAUAGCUUAUUUUUUUGCUUCGACUAAAUAAGUGACCACUUAGAAGAUAGUCUUAUAUUCGUCUGUUCUUGAACCUGUGUAAGGCGAAACUUGAUCAAGUAACUAAACAUGUAGAUAUUUACCUUUUCUCUAUUAUGGACGGGAGUUCGAAUCUCCCCGCCUCCACGC